AGUGAACGCUGGCGGUAGGCCUAACACAUGCAAGUCGAACGGCAGCACAGUAAGAGCUUGCUCUUACGGGUGGCGAGUGGCGGACGGGUGAAGAAUACAUCGGAAUCUACUUUUUCGUGGGGGAUAACGUAGGGAAACUUACGCUAAUACCGCAUACGACCUACGUGUGAAAGCAGGGGAUCUUCGGACCUUGCGCGAUUGAAUGAGCCGAUGUCGGAUUAGCUAGUUGGCGGGGUAAAGGCCCACCAAGGCGACGAUCCGUAGCUGGUCUGAUAGGAUGAUCAGCCACACUGGAACUGAGACAAGGUCCAGACUACUACGGGAGGCAGCAGUGGGGAAUAUUGGACAAUGGGCGCAAGCCUGAUCCAGCCAUACCGCGUGGGUGAAGAAGGCCUUCGGGUUGUAAAGCCCUUUUGUUGGGAAAGAAAAGCAGCAGGUUAAUACCCCGCUGUUCUGACGGUACCCAAAGAAUAAGCACCGGCUAACUUCGUG
This 492-nucleotide ribosomal RNA is filed under the name uncultured bacterium. RNAcentral describes it as "partial 16S ribosomal RNA". It matches the Rfam family "Bacterial small subunit ribosomal RNA", at positions 29 to 507 of the family's 1533-position model. The record is from RNAcentral.